GUGCUCGCUUUGGCAGCACACAUACUAAAAUUGAAGGGAUACAGAGUAAGUCAGCAUGGCCCCUGUGCAAGGAUGACACACAAAUUUGUGAAUCGUUCCAUAAUGUA
Tupaia belangeri (northern tree shrew) is the source of this 107-nucleotide small nuclear RNA. Lineage: Eukaryota; Metazoa; Chordata; Mammalia; Scandentia; Tupaiidae. The record is from Ensembl.